This 67-nucleotide transfer RNA is filed under the name Mastigoteuthis agassizii. RNAcentral's name for it is "tRNA-Thr". It matches the Rfam family "tRNA". Rfam says of the family: Transfer RNA (tRNA) molecules are approximately 80 nucleotides in length. Their secondary structure includes four short double-helical elements and three loops (D, anti-codon, and T loops). The record is from RNAcentral. Lineage: Eukaryota; Metazoa; Mollusca; Cephalopoda; Oegopsida; Mastigoteuthidae.
GUUAUAAUAGUUUAAGUGUAAAACUUUGGUUUUGUAAACCAAAAUUAGAUAUAAUUUCUUUAUAACU